Molecule: ribosomal RNA, 468 nt
Filed under: uncultured bacterium
Lineage: Bacteria
Description: partial 16S ribosomal RNA
Rfam family: Bacterial small subunit ribosomal RNA
Source: RNAcentral
GGACGAACGCUGGCGGCGUGCUUAACACAUGCAAGUCGAACGGAAAGGCCCUGCUUUUGUGGGGUGCUCGAGUGGCGAACGGGUGAGUAACACGUGAGUAACCUGCCCUUGACUUUGGGAUAACUUCAGGAAACUGGGGCUAAUACCGGAUAGGAGCUCCUGCUGCAUGGUGGGGGUUGGAAAGUUUCGGCGGUUGGGGAUGGACUCGCGGCUUAUCAGCUUGUUGGUGGGGUAGUGGCUUACCAAGGCUUUGACGGGUAGCCGGCCUGAGAGGGUGACCGGCCACAUUGGGACUGAGAUACGGCCCAGACUCCUACGGGAGGCAGCAGUGGGGAAUAUUGCACAAUGGGCGGAAGCCUGAUGCAGCAACGCCGCGUGCGGAUGACGGCCUUCGGGUUGUAAACCGCUUUCGCCUGUGACGAAGCGUGAGUGACGGUAAUGGGUAAAGAAGCACCGGCUAACUACGUG